RNAcentral lists this ribosomal RNA (468 nucleotides) under uncultured bacterium. RNAcentral describes it as "partial 16S ribosomal RNA". It matches the Rfam family "Bacterial small subunit ribosomal RNA", at positions 28 to 507 of the family's 1533-position model. The record is from RNAcentral.
GACGAACGCUGGCGGCGUGCUUAACACAUGCAAGUCGAACGGAAAGGCCCGGCUUUGUUGCGCUGGGCGGGUGGCGAAGGGGUGAGUAACACGUGAGUAACCUGCCCUUGACUGUGGGAGAACUUAAUGAAACUGGGUCUAAUACCGGAUAGGAUCUCUUGCUGCAUGGUGGGGGUUGGAUAGUUUCGGCGGUUGGUGAUGGACUCGCCGCUUAUCAGCUUGUUGGUGGGGUAGUGGCUUACCAAGGCCUUGACGGGUAGCCGGCCUGGGAGGGUGAGCGGCCACACUGCGACUGAGAUAAGGCACAGACCCGUACGGGAGGCAGCGGUGGGGAAUAUUAUACAGUGCGAGGGAGCAUGAUGCAGCCCAGCAACGUGCGGGAAGACAGGCUUGGGGUUGUGAACCGCUUUCGCCUGAGACGAAGCGUGAGUGACGGUACCGGGUAAAGAAGCACCGGCUAACUACGUG